GUUUCUGUAGUUGAAAUACAACGAUGGUUUUUCGAGUCAAAGGUCUUGGUUAGAGUCCGAGUGGAAACU
RNAcentral lists this transfer RNA (69 nucleotides) under Stolephorus chinensis (China anchovy). RNAcentral describes it as "tRNA-Glu". It matches the Rfam family "tRNA". From Rfam's summary of the family: Transfer RNA (tRNA) molecules are approximately 80 nucleotides in length. Their secondary structure includes four short double-helical elements and three loops (D, anti-codon, and T loops). RNAcentral also lists the same sequence under 1 other name. The record is from RNAcentral. Lineage: Eukaryota; Metazoa; Chordata; Actinopteri; Clupeiformes; Engraulidae.